Molecule: non-coding RNA, 924 nt
Organism: Cinara cedri
Lineage: Eukaryota; Metazoa; Arthropoda; Insecta; Hemiptera; Aphididae
Source: the annotation of a GenBank genome assembly
UUUUUUAAAAAAAUCUCACAAAAUACUUAAUAUCCCUUCCCCCCACAAAAAAAAAAAAAAAAAUAGGUAAAAGUUUACUUGAUAUUUUAAAAAAAAAAAAACACUGAAAUGGGUAACGGGACAUUUUAAUCCGAUAGGGAUAAUUCGAGAAUGUAUCCGAAUUAGUUCCCGAACUCAUCCCCCACAUGCCGAAUUGGUUCCCGUUUGAAAAAGGUACUUUAUGAAGGUGAACCUAAUUGGCUUCCGUUUAACAUCAACAUGUGUACAACAAAUACAAUAAAUUUAGGUAUAAUGCAGUAUAUUUUUAAACUUUUAUUUAACUUGCAUCAUACUACGGCGGGUAUUUUACAGUUAUGAAGAUAAUAAAAUAAUGUUAAAUUGGCGUAUUGCCAGAAUACCGCAAUCGAUUAAGAUAACUCCAUCUGUCAAUCCAUCUGAGUAUACGUAUCUAUAUGGCUAUGUAUACCGAAUAUAAAAUACAGAAAUGUUUCUACUAUAAAAGCUAAGUAAUUCUAAGUUGAAAGUCCUAAGUUUGUAAGAAUGGGAAGGAAAAUGUGCGUAUUUGACUAACUUACUGCGAACAAUGUGAAUCAAUUCGACUGGUAGUGGAUACAUCACAAAUUUAAAUGGGCUCACCUUCAUAAAAUACCUUUUUUCAAACGGGAAUCAAUUCGGCUAAAUGGGAGCCAAUUCGGAUACAUCCAAAUUCCCAAUUUGAUCCUAUUAUAUGGACUUAUUCUUUCACCGAAUCAAAAUGUCAACUUAUCUGGAAACGCAGUAAGAAUAUAUUAAAAUAUUUUAGAAAUAUAAUACAAUUAAAUAUGCCCGAAUAAAAUAACACGGCUAUAAUUAAUAAGUAAUCUUAAAAUUAGAUUAAUAAUAUUAUGUUUUCAAUGUGCAUAAUAUAAUCACUUGAAAUCUAAG